CAGCCGCCACGGGAAAACGGAGGAUCCGAGCGUUAUCCGGAAUUAUUGGGUUUAAAGGGUGCGUAGGCGGAUAGAUAAGUCAGUGGUGAAAGACGGUGGCUCAACCAUCGCAGUGCCGUUGAUACUGUUUAUCUUGAAUAUGGAUGAGGUAGGCGGAAUGUGGCAAGUAGCGGUGAAAUGCAUAGAUAUGCCACAGAACACCGAUUGCGAAGGCAGCUUACCAAGGCAAAAUUGACGCUGAGGCACGAAAGCGUGGGGAUCGAACAGGAUUAGAUACCCCAGUAGUCCCUGUCUCUUAUAC
Molecule: ribosomal RNA, 301 nt
Filed under: uncultured bacterium
Lineage: Bacteria
Description: partial 16S ribosomal RNA
Rfam family: Bacterial small subunit ribosomal RNA
Source: RNAcentral